AAUGGAGCCGGACAAAAAAAAAGAGGGACCAAAACGAAAUUUGAACAAAGAUUAGGUACCAUUUUGUGUAAAAAGAACCCAAUUCAAUUUUGGUCGGCAGAGUUCUUCUGUUUCGAUUACAGUUUCGUCAAAGUCAGGGCAAUCACAGGGAGUGGAGACAUCAAUUUAUUUCUGAUUUCUCCCAAACCCUACCACAAAUUUUCACUCAAUCCCUAGCCCCAAAUUUCCCCUAAACACAGUCACAGAAUUCGCAAUCCAUUCUCAACUUCGAAACCAAACCCAUCAAGUUCUUCUCCUUUAAUCAGCGAAGAUGGUGUUGGCGCAAUUGGGAGGGAGCAUUGGACGUGCUCUCGACGAGAAGGUCCUGAACGAGUCGUGCUCUGCUCCAAUCCGAUGCUCAAUUCAAGCUCGUCCGUGACAUGCAGACCAAUAUAAAAAAAGAUCGUCAAUUUGGAUGAUCUCGCUGCUGGUCACAACAGGCUAUAUUUAACAAACUUUGCAAAAUGGUGGAUCCAGGGAAACUGUCUUUCACUCCCAAGAAAGGGAAACCAAGUGUUGUCAUGUUUUCUUGUUUACAAGGUAAGCUUGCUAAUUUCACACUGAUUGGAAUUUUCUUUUUGGUCUGAAAGUUGAUUGAUUAUUUCACAUUUCUUAUGUGCAACAAUUUUAGUCAUUAAGUUCGAAUUGAAGAGUUUUAACGAUUGAUUAAUGUAUUGGAAAGAAAUUUCUUGGACUUUAAAAUGUACUUUCAGGUGAAGCAUGCUGUGUUUAACAAAAUGUGCAUAUUAUCGUCAGAAAAAAUGUUUGGAAACCUUCCCUAGUGUGUGCAGAUACAGUUCGAGCUGUGCAUUUGAUCAGUUUAAGCAGAAUGCCAGUAUGGCUAAGAUUCCAUUGUAUGGAAGGUGCUCUUUUUUCUUUGGACAAUUACAAGCCUUAUAGAGUUGUGAAGUUUGCGAAUGUUGAAUUUUUCUUAUCUUUCAGUAAACAUCUCAAUUCUAGAUAUUAGUUAUUUUUUAAUAGGGGAAGUGAAAGAAAGAGGAAUGUAGUAGUUGGAUUAGUAUCACAGUGGUUAUAGUUUGGUCUCAUACUCCACUGGUAUGGAUCACAGUUUGAUGUUUUUGGAGUUAGAACCACAGUUUCUGGUUGGGAAGAGUGAGGAAAAACAUGGUGGACAUUAAAAGGCAGCCAUCCUUGGUGUCCUGCCCAUCCAUCCCUGGCGUCCACUUGCAGUUGAAGGUGUGGAAACAUUCUCAAAGGUGAAUUGCAAUCUUAUAAUUGUUGACACUAGUGGGCAUCACAAACAAGAAGCUGCUCUUUUUGAAGAAAUGCGUCAAGUUUCUGAAGCAACGGUGUUUGUUCUGAAAUUUCAUGCUAUGUAAACUUGCUGAUGACUGCAUUUGCUUGAUAAUAUCUUUCUCUUAAUAUACUUCCUCUCAUAUUCCAGAAACCAGAUCUUGUUAUGUUUGUUAUGGUAGCAAUAUUGGUCAGGCUGCAUUUGAUGAAGCUCAAGCCUUCAGGGACAGUGUUUCAGUUUGGAGCUGUUAUUGUUGCAAAAAUGGAUGGUCGUGCAAAAGGAGGUGGUGCUCUCAGUGCAAAACUUCAAGGCCGAGUAACAUAGAAAUCUCAGUACUGGUCCCACCAAAGUGGUCAUAGGAGGGAAUAUCUAGAUACAAUCUUAACCCUUGGAAUUGAUUCGCUUGAAUUAGCCAAUCUCAAGAGUCAAGAAUUAAACUUGCACAGAAGUAUUUGUCAUCAUGACAUUGACAACAAUACACAUCUUGCCUGUGCAAAUGACAAAUAUCAUGCUACUCUGCCUUUCCAAAGUCGAUGCAUGAUUGCAAAUUGCAGCUAUUGAAGAAUUUUAUGGUAUGUCUCUGUAGUUGCUUAAAA
Molecule: long non-coding RNA, 1890 nt
Organism: Prunus persica (peach)
Lineage: Eukaryota; Viridiplantae; Streptophyta; Magnoliopsida; Rosales; Rosaceae
Exons: 4
Source: RefSeq, a predicted model, not a curated record